ACUUUUAAAGGAAAGUAGUUAUCCGGUGACCUUAGGAGUCAAAACUC
RNAcentral lists this transfer RNA (47 nucleotides) under Chamaeleo namaquensis. RNAcentral describes it as "partial tRNA-Leu". Lineage: Eukaryota; Metazoa; Chordata; Lepidosauria; Squamata; Chamaeleonidae. The record is from RNAcentral.